Molecule: unclassified non-coding RNA, 297 nt
Filed under: Hevea brasiliensis (rubber tree)
Lineage: Eukaryota; Viridiplantae; Streptophyta; Magnoliopsida; Malpighiales; Euphorbiaceae
Source: RNAcentral
AACUUACAUAUUAUUCAUUAGAAGGAAAUAAACAAUGGGUUGACUGUAGUUACUAGCUACUGUAGGCUUGUGAUACUUCCGAGUUGUUUGAUUAACUGAAUUGCAAGUAUGACAGUACUAUGUGAAUGCAUUUUCCAAUUGGGUUUUGGUAUUUCUUUUUCACUUUCUGUUUCAAAUUACUGCUGAAAAAGCUGGCUAAAGACUGUAUCAGUUCGAAGAAUCAGAGCUAGCAGUGGCCUUUUAAGAGUACUUGGUGCUAUUCAGGAUAAGUAUCAUAAAGAGAGUGUUAAAGAAAGG